This is a long non-coding RNA of Dreissena polymorpha, 959 nucleotides long. RefSeq lists it as uncharacterized. The record is from RefSeq and is a predicted model, not a curated record. The transcript is spliced from 4 exons. NCBI's taxonomy places the organism in Eukaryota, Metazoa, Mollusca, Bivalvia, Myida, Dreissenidae.
AUUAGACAGAAGCUAAGCAAACCUGUGCAAUGCUAAUGGCGACGGAUCAUCUUAAAACGUUUGGAAAUUGGAACUGCUUGAAGAUUGCGCACUGCCUUUGCGAACAACCUGUAAUGCAAAAAGAUAUAAAGUUGGACAACUCAAGCCUGCCUAGAAAUCUCACAACCAACGCAACACAAAACACACCCACGUCAAUCCCACAUACCAGAACCACAACCAACACUGAACGACACUCAACGCAAAUCCGAUGGAUUCGGGACAAUCUCAAUGAGUGUUUUGUCAACUACAAUAACUUAACCAUCACCGACGCACGGGCAGUCUGCAAGAUGUCAAACGCGACGCUGGUUGCGUUUAUGGACACUUAUCAGUACUUUAAGCUAAGCGGCAGACUUCAACGUGAUGCGGCUGGAUAUUGGGUCGACGACGCCAUGCCUGCUAACGACUCUACGUGUCUGAAGUUGAACACCGCUGAAGGAAGUCUUCAGUCACGUGAGUGCAGUGAACUGGCCUACAGCAUACGUAACUGAUUUGCAUUCCAAAACAACAUUUCACAGGUUCUGGAGCGACAAGAGUUUGUUGAAAUGAUUCGAGAGAUGACAAUAGUGAAAAACAUGACGUCAAAUGCUUUGAGGAAACUGACGUCUGCUGAAGACAAGAGGACCCUAGCUAAAGUCAGCGGAACUGUCGCCAUUUGCAUGAUGGCGGGAAUCUUCUUGAUUGUAUUCUUGAACGAUUUUUCGCGGAUUCUGAGAACAUUUUUUUAAUUAAAAUUUCUUAAAUUACUGUAAGAAAACAGACACAUCUUAUUACCAACUAGAAAGCUUCUUUGUCUGAGUACAUGACAGGUAGAUAUUUUAUUGAUAUAGCGGAUGAUUAAUUAAUGUUAAAUAGUUUUCACAAUGUUAUAUCAAUGUAUAACUUGCUAUGCAGAGUGUUUCCAGUAUAUGUACAUGUAAAGA